AUACGAAGGGGGCUAGCGUUGUUCGGAAUUACUGGGCGUAAAGCGCGCGUAGGCGGAUUGGUCAGUUAGGGGUGAAAUCCCAGGGCUUAACCCUGGAACUGCCUCUAAUACUGCCAGUCUUGAGUUCGGGAGAGGUGAGUGGAAUUCCUAGUGUAGAGGUGAAAUUCGUAGAUAUUAGGAAGAACACCAGUGGCGAAGGUGGCUCACUGGCCCGAUACUGACGCUGAGGCGCGAAAGCGUGGGGAGCAAACAGGAUUAGAAACCCCAGUAGUCC
This 274-nucleotide ribosomal RNA is filed under the name uncultured bacterium. RNAcentral describes it as "partial 16S ribosomal RNA". It matches the Rfam family "Bacterial small subunit ribosomal RNA", at positions 523 to 796 of the family's 1533-position model. The record is from RNAcentral.